RNAcentral lists this ribosomal RNA (433 nucleotides) under uncultured bacterium. RNAcentral describes it as "partial 16S ribosomal RNA". It matches the Rfam family "Bacterial small subunit ribosomal RNA", at positions 29 to 507 of the family's 1533-position model. The record is from RNAcentral.
AGCGAACGCUGGCGGCAGGCCUAACACAUGCAAGUCGAACGAACUCUUCGGAGUUAGUGGCGGACGGGUGAGUAACACGUGGGAACGUGCCUUUAGGUUCGGAAUAACUCAGGGAAACUUGUGCUAAUACCGAAUGAGCCCUUCGGGGGAAAGAUUUAUCGCCUUUAGAGCGGCCCGCGUCUGAUUAGCUAGUUGGUGAGGUAAAGGCUCACCAAGGCGACGAUCAGUAGCUGGUCUGAGAGGAUGAUCAGCCACAUUGGGACUGAGACACGGCCCAAACCCCUACGGGAGGCAGCAGUGGGGAAUCUUGCGCAAUGGGCGAAAGCCUGACGCAGCCAUGCCGCGUGAAUGAUGAAGGUCUUAGGAUUGGAAAAUUCUUUCACCGGGGACGAUAAUGACGGUACCCGGAGAAGAAGCCCCGGCUAACUUCGUG